GCGUCUGUGGCCUAGUUGGUAAAGGCAGAACUCUAGUACGUGUCUCAGCAUAGCUGAGGUUGUGAGUUUGACUCUCACCAUACACA
RNAcentral lists this transfer RNA (86 nucleotides) under Puccinia triticina. RNAcentral describes it as "tRNA-Thr". It matches the Rfam family "tRNA". Rfam says of the family: Transfer RNA (tRNA) molecules are approximately 80 nucleotides in length. Their secondary structure includes four short double-helical elements and three loops (D, anti-codon, and T loops). Further hydrogen bonds mediate the characteristic L-shaped molecular structure. tRNAs have two regions of fundamental functional importance: the anti-codon, which is responsible for specific mRNA codon recognition, and the 3' end, to which the tRNAs corresponding amino acid is attached (by aminoacyl-tRNA synthetases). tRNAs cope with the degeneracy of the genetic code in two manners: having more than one tRNA (with a specific anti-codon) for a particular amino acid; and 'wobble' base-pairing, i.e. permitting non-standard base-pairing at the 3rd anti-codon position. RNAcentral also lists the same sequence under 1 other name. The record is from RNAcentral. Lineage: Eukaryota; Fungi; Basidiomycota; Pucciniomycetes; Pucciniales; Pucciniaceae.